GACGAACCCGUGCGAACGUUGUUCGGAAUCACUGGGCUUAAAGGGCGCGUAGGCGGCUGACCAAGUCCGGGGUGAAAUCCUGCAGCUUAACUGUAGAAGUGCCCUAGAUACUGGUUGGCUCGAGGGAGGUAGGGGUCUGUGGAACUUCUGGUGGAGCGGUGAAAUGCGUUGAUAUCAGAAGGAACGCCGGUGGCGAAAGCGACGGACUGGACCUCUUCUGACGCUGAGGCGCGAAAGCCAGGGGAGCAAACGGGAUUAGAA
This 261-nucleotide ribosomal RNA is filed under the name uncultured bacterium. RNAcentral's name for it is "partial 16S ribosomal RNA". It matches the Rfam family "Bacterial small subunit ribosomal RNA", at positions 524 to 783 of the family's 1533-position model. The record is from RNAcentral.